GGGCGUGUAGCUCAGGGGUAGAGCGCCUGCCUUACAAGCAGGAUGUCGGCGGUUCGAAACCGUCCAUGCCCA
This 72-nucleotide transfer RNA is filed under the name Streptomyces scabiei. Its description in RNAcentral is "tRNA-Val". It matches the Rfam family "tRNA". Rfam says of the family: Transfer RNA (tRNA) molecules are approximately 80 nucleotides in length. Their secondary structure includes four short double-helical elements and three loops (D, anti-codon, and T loops). Further hydrogen bonds mediate the characteristic L-shaped molecular structure. tRNAs have two regions of fundamental functional importance: the anti-codon, which is responsible for specific mRNA codon recognition, and the 3' end, to which the tRNAs corresponding amino acid is attached (by aminoacyl-tRNA synthetases). tRNAs cope with the degeneracy of the genetic code in two manners: having more than one tRNA (with a specific anti-codon) for a particular amino acid; and 'wobble' base-pairing, i.e. permitting non-standard base-pairing at the 3rd anti-codon position. RNAcentral also lists the same sequence under 43 other names. The record is from RNAcentral. Lineage: Bacteria; Bacillati; Actinomycetota; Actinomycetes; Kitasatosporales; Streptomycetaceae.